RNAcentral lists this ribosomal RNA (729 nucleotides) under Ligilactobacillus salivarius. RNAcentral describes it as "bacterial SSU rRNA". It matches the Rfam family "Bacterial small subunit ribosomal RNA", at positions 72 to 773 of the family's 1533-position model. The record is from RNAcentral. Lineage: Bacteria; Bacillati; Bacillota; Bacilli; Lactobacillales; Lactobacillaceae.
UUCUUACACCGAAUGCUUGCAUUCACCGUAAGAAGUUGAGUGGCGGACGGGUGAGUAACACGUGGGUAACCUGCCUAAAAGAAGGGGAUAACACUUGGAAACAGGUGCUAAUACCGUAUAUCUCUAAGGAUCGCAUGAUCCUUAGAUGAAAGAUGGUUCUGCUAUCGCUUUUAGAUGGACCCGCGGCGUAUUAACUAGUUGGUGGGGUAACGGCCUACCAAGGUGAUGAUACGUAGCCGAACUGAGAGGUUGAUCGGCCACAUUGGGACUGAGACACGGCCCAAACUCCUACGGGAGGCAGCAGUAGGGAAUCUUCCACAAUGGACGCAAGUCUGAUGGAGCAACGCCGCGUGAGUGAAGAAGGUCUUCGGAUCGUAAAACUCUGUUGUUAGAUAAGAACACGAGUGAGAGUAACUGUUCAUUCGAUGACGGUAUCUAACCAGCAAGUCACGGCUAACUACGUGCCAGCAGCCGCGGUAAUACGUAGGUGGCAAGCGUUGUCCGGAUUUAUUGGGCGUAAAGGGAACGCAGGCGGUCUUUUAAGUCUGAUGUGAAAGCCUUCGGCUUAACCGGAGUAGUGCAUUGGAAACUGGAAGACUUGAGUGCAGAAGAGGAGAGUGGAACUCCAUGUGUAGCGGUGAAAUGCGUAGAUAUAUGGAAGAACACCAGUGGCGAAAGCGGCUCUCUGGUCUGUAACUGACGCUGAGUUCGAAAGCGUGGGUAGCAAAC